This 3616-nucleotide ribosomal RNA is filed under the name Plenodomus lingam/Leptosphaeria maculans 'brassicae' group. Its description in RNAcentral is "eukaryotic LSU rRNA". It matches the Rfam family "Eukaryotic large subunit ribosomal RNA". The record is from RNAcentral. Lineage: Eukaryota; Fungi; Ascomycota; Dothideomycetes; Pleosporales; Leptosphaeriaceae.
ACAACUUUUAACAACAGAUCUCUUAGUUCUAGCAUUAAUAAAGAACGCAGCGAAAUGCGAUAAGUAGUGUAAAUUGUAGAAUUUAGUAAAUCAUUAAAUCUUUAAACGCACAUUACGCCCCUUAGUAUUCUAUAGGGCAUGCCUAUUUAAGCGUUAUUUGUACCCUUAAGCUCUACUUAGUGUUAGGUGUUUGUUCCACUUAGGACUCGCCUUAAAACAAUUAGCAGCUAGCACAUUAGCCUAGAGCGCAGCACAUUUUGCGCCUCUUGUUAUAGUUGUUAGCAUCUAUUAAGACACUUUUUAAGCUCUUAACCUUAGAUUAGGUAGGGAUACCCGCUAAACUUAAGCAUAUUAAUAAGCGGAGGAAAAGAAACUAACAGGGAUUGCCCUAGUAACAGCGAGUGAAGCGGCAACAGCUCAAAUUUAAAAUCUAGCUCUUUUAGGGUCCAAGUUGUAAUUUAUAGAGGGCGCUUUAGCGUUAGCAGCAGUCCAAGUUCCUUAGAAUAGGACGUUAUAGAGGGUAAGAAUCCUGUACGUAGUCGCUAGCCUUCGCCGUGUAAAGCCCCUUUAACAAGUUAAGUUGUUUAGGAAUGCAGCUCUAAAUAGGAGGUAAAUUUCUUCUAAAGCUAAAUACUAGCUAGAGACUAAUAGCGCACAAGUAGAGUGAUUAAAAGAUAAAAAGCACUUUAGAAAGAGAGUUAAAUAGCACGUGAAAUUGUUAAAAGGGAAGCGCUUGCAGCUAGACUUGCCUGUAGUUGCUUAUCUAGGCUUUUGUCUAGUGCACUCUUCUAUAGGCAGGCUAGUAUUAGUUUAGGCAGUUAGAUAAAGGUCUCUGUCACGUACCUCCCUUUAGGGAGGCCUUAUAGGGGAGACAACAUGCAACUAGCCUAGACUAAGGUCUGCGCAUCUGCUAGGAUGCUAGCGUAAUAGCUAUAAGCGGCCCGUCUUAAAACAUAGACUAAGGAGUCUAACAUCUAUGCAAGUGUUUAGGUGUUAAGCCUAGACGCGUAAUAAAAGUAAAUAGAGGUAGGACCCCUUUUAGGGUGCACUAUUAACCAAUCCUAAUAUCUUUAGAAGGAUUUAAGUAAGAGCAUAGCUAUUAGGACCUAAAAGAUAGUGAACUAUGCUUAAAUAGGGUAAAGCUAGAGGAAACUCUAGUAGAGGCUUGUAGCAGUUCUAACGUGCAAAUUAAUCGUUAAAUUUAGGCAUAGGGGCGAAAGACUAAUUAAACUAUCUAGUAGCUAGUUCCUGCUAAAGUUUCCCUUAGGAUAGUAGUAACGUAUUUAGUUUUAUAAGGUAAAGCAAAUAAUUAGAGGCCUAGGGGUUAAAACAACCUUUACCUAUUCUUAAACUUUAAAUAUAUAAGAAGUCCUUAUUACUUAAUUAAACGUGGAUACUUAAAUGUACUGUUACUAGUAGGCCAUUUUUAGUAAGUAGAACUAGCGAUAUAGGAUAAACCAAACGCGGGGUUAAGGUGCUAGAAUGCACGCUUAUUAGACACUACAAAAGGUGUUAGUUUAUCUAGACAGUAGGAUAGUAGCUAUAGAAGUUAGAAUCCGCUAAGGAGUGUGUAACAACUUACCUGCUAAAUAAACUAGCCCUAAAAAUAGAUGGCGCUUAAGCGUGUUACCUAUACCCCGCCGCUAGGGCAAGAUUUAAGCCCUAGCGAGUAGGCAGGCGUGGAGGCUCGUGACGAAGCCUUAGGGGUAACCCUAGGUAGAACGGCCUCUAGUGCAGAUCUUAGUAGUAGUAGCAAAUACUUAAAUAAGAACUUUAAGGACUAAAGUAGGGAAAGGUUCUAUGUAAACAGCAGUUAGACAUAGGUUAGUUAAUCCUAAGAGAUAGGGUAAUUCUAUUUUAAUAUCAGCGCUUGCGCCACGCCCUUAAAAGGGAAGCUAGUUAAUAUUCUAGCACCUAGAUAUAGAUUCUCCGCGGCAACGCAACUAAGAGCGGAGACCUUAGCGGGAGCCCUAAGAAGAGUUCUCUUUUCUUCUUAACAGUCUAUCACCCUAAAAUUAGUUUGUCUAGAGCUAGGGUUUAAUAGCUAGAAGAGCGCUGCACUUUUACAGCGUUUAGUGCGCUCCUAACAAGCCUUAAAAAUCCACUUAAAGAAAUAGUUUUUACGCUAGGUCAUACUUAUAACCGCAGCAGGUCUCUAAGGUAAAAAGCCUCUAGUUAAUAGAAUAAUGUAGAUAAGGGAAGUUAGUAAAAUAGAUCUGUAACUUUAGGAAAAGGAUUGGCUCUAAGGGUUAGGUACGUUAGGCCUUAGGGAGAAGCCUCUAGCGUAGAAGGGCACUAACCGCAAGGUAGGCGCCUCUCAGCGCUAGGGUGCAGACACCCUUAGCAGGUUUUGGCCAUCCAGCGUACGUUUAACAACUAACUUAGAACUAGUAUAGAUAAGGGGAAUCUAACUGUCUAAUUAAAAUAUAGCAUUGCAAUAGCUAGAAAGUAGUGUUAACACAAUAUAAUUUCUGCCUAGUGCUCUAAAUAUUAAAGUAAAGAGAUUUAACUAAGCGCGGGUAAACAGUAGGAGUAACUAUAACUCUCUUAAGGUAGCUAAAUGCCUCGUUAUCUAAUUAGUAACGCGCAUAAAUAGAUUAACAAGAUUCCUACUAUCCCUAUCUACUAUCUAGCGAAACCACAGCUAAGGGAAUAGGCUUAGCUAAAUCAGCAGGGAAAGAAGACCCUGUUAAGCUUAACUCUAGUUUAACAUUGUAAAAAGAUAUAGGGGGUGUAGAAUAGGUAGGAGCUUUGGCGCUAGUAAAAUACCACUACCCUUAUCGUUUUUUUACUUAUUUGAUAAAGCAGAGCUAGGCCUUACUACCUAACUUCUAGCGUUUAAGGUCCUUUGUAGGCUAAUCUAGGUUAAAGAUAUUGUUAGGUAGGGAGUUUGGCUAGAGCAGCACAUCUAUUAAACUAUAACGCAGGUGUCCUAAGGGGGACUUAUAGAGAAUAGAAAUCUCUAGUAGAGCAAAAGGGCAAAAGUCCCCUUAAUUUUGAUUUUUAGUGUGAAUACAAACCAUAAAAGUGUGGCCUAUUAAUCCUUUAGUCCCUUAAAAUUUAAGGCUAGAGGUGCUAGAAAAGUUACCACAGGGAUAACUAGCUUGUGGCAGCUAAGCGUUCAUAGCAACGUUACUUUUUAAUCCUUUAAUGUCGGCUCUUCCUAUUAUACCAAAGCAGAAUUCAGUAAGCGUUAGAUUGUUUACCUACUAAUAGGGAACGUAAGCUAGGUUUAGACUGUUAUAAGAUAGGUUAGUUUUACCCUACUAAUAACCUUGCCCUAAUAGUAAUACCGCUUAGUACGAGAGGAACCGCGGUUUCAGAUAAUUAGUUUUUGCGGCUAUCUAACUAGGUAUUGCUGCGAAGCUACUAUCUACUAGAUUAUAGCUAAACGCCUCUAAGUUAGAAUCUAUGCUAGAACAGGGUAAUUUCCGCCUGCACUAGUUAGAUACAAAUAGGCCUUUGGCCCAGAACCUUACCAGAUCAGCGUUAGCAGCCCUAUUAAAGUUAGAGUUGUUAGCUAGUGUAUUAUAAUUGUACAGUGCGCAGGAUUAAAUCCUUUGUAGAUAACUUAGUUGUCUAGCCAGGUCGUGUAAGUAGUCAAGUAGCCUUGUUG